Molecule: transfer RNA, 75 nt
Filed under: Bacillus velezensis
Lineage: Bacteria; Bacillati; Bacillota; Bacilli; Caryophanales; Bacillaceae
Description: tRNA-Gly
Rfam family: tRNA
About the family: Transfer RNA (tRNA) molecules are approximately 80 nucleotides in length. Their secondary structure includes four short double-helical elements and three loops (D, anti-codon, and T loops).
Source: RNAcentral
GCGGAAGUAGUUCAGUGGUAGAACAUCACCUUGCCAAGGUGGGGGGCGCGGGUUCGAAUCCCGUCUUCCGCUCCA